UAGGGAAUCUUCCGCAAUGGGCGAAAGCCUGACGGAGCAACGCCGCGUGAGUGAUGAAGGUCUUCGGAUCGUAAAACUCUGUUAUUAGGGAAGAACAAAUGUGUAAGUAACUAUGCACGUCUUGACGGUACCUAAUCAGAAAGCCACGGCUAACUACGUGCCAGCAGCCGCGGUAAUACGUAGGUGGCAAGCGUUAUCCGGGAUUAUUGGGCGUAAAGCGCGCGUAGGCGGUUUUUUAAGGCUGAUGUGAAAGCCCACGGCUCAACCGUGGAGGGUCAUUGGAAACUGGAAAACUUGAGUGCAGAAGAGGAAAGUGGAAUUCCAUGUGUAGCGGUGAAAUGCGCAGAGAUAUGGAGGAACACCAGUGGCGAAGGCGACGUUCUGGUCUGUAACUGACGCUGAUGUGCGAAAGCGUGGGGAUCAAACAGG
RNAcentral lists this ribosomal RNA (429 nucleotides) under Actinomycetes bacterium. RNAcentral describes it as "Actinobacteria bacterium partial 16S ribosomal RNA". It matches the Rfam family "Bacterial small subunit ribosomal RNA", at positions 355 to 776 of the family's 1533-position model. The record is from RNAcentral. Lineage: Bacteria; Bacillati; Actinomycetota; Actinomycetes.